Molecule: long non-coding RNA, 2381 nt
Organism: Rosa rugosa (rugosa rose)
Lineage: Eukaryota; Viridiplantae; Streptophyta; Magnoliopsida; Rosales; Rosaceae
Exons: 5
Source: RefSeq, a predicted model, not a curated record
CGUACAUGCGCCGAACGUUGUUGAAAGUGAUUGACAACAUGAAUUGCAUGUUGUUAAACAUGUUUUUUCUUGUAGUCAGUGGCGGAGCCACAUUGGGGCACAUUGGGUCCCGUGCUCCAGUAAACUUUCGAAUAUAUAUAAUUAAGUUACCAGCUAGCAUAGAUGGCUGGGAUGGCUGGGAUAGUGCAGUGGUCUGCCAUGCUAUAGCUACGUCACAAGUCCUGGGUUCGAAUCAGGCUAACUUCAGAAUUUUUUGUUUAGAUUUUUUCCAUGGUUUAAUUCUAGCUUGCAGCACUAAUUAACGGCGCACAUCUCAUGUGUGCCGUCAGAAUGUCUUUAUUCCAAUAAUUUACGGCGUGCAUUUCAUGUGUGUCGUAAAUUUAGUUAUUUAUUUACAGCGUGCACAAUAUGUGUGUCGUAAAUGAGUUAUUUUACUAUUAUUUUACAGCUUACAUUUCUAGUAUUAACUUUUUCUGAUCGAAGUAUUAAAUCACCCCUCCUCUCUCUCUCUCUCUCUCGAUAACAAAAGAAUCGCAGCCCUAGAAAUCGAUGAGAUUCAAUUGGAGACUCUAAAAUGAAUCCCUCGCUGUCUUCUUCCUCUCCAUCUUCUACUUCUUCAGCUUUCGCCGGUUCCUGGUUCUCCGGCGUUGUCCGGGGUCGGUCUGACCGUGCCGGCUCCGUCGUGCGGAAGAAUCAGUUCCGAGGGGCGCUCUUCAAGUACGGCCCCAAACCAAUUCAGGUUAGGUUGAAUCAAAGAUCGUACAUAUGUGGUUUAAUUUCAGUCGGAAAUGGAUUUCGAGACCUUGAUCUUUGCUUGUGAAUCUGUGAUUGUGAUAUGCAAAUAUGCAAUGUUUAUGUGUAGACUAAGAUUUGAAUUUGGUAAAUGAAUUGGUGUUGAGCAUUUGGUUUUGGUUACCGAUUAUUGGUUAUGAAAUGCUGGAACUUGCGUGUGAAGGUUAACCUAGUUUUCGGUAUCAUAUAAGGUAUAUCUAGAUUUAGUUCAGUGGAAACUGUGAGACUAUAGCAAUUUGGGAUUGAUAGGGUUUUGAAAGAGUAGAAGUCAAUUCGUGUGUUGGAAGGUUCAAUGUUUAGCUAUUUAUUUCAUUCAAUGAAGAGCAAUGUUUAUGGUUACGGUAAUGUGGGAAGGUUUAGGGCUUAAGGCCAACAUUCAAUUGGAACUUGUAGUUAAUUGAGGAAAUUUAAGCUGAAAAUUCAUUUUCAAGUUGAAGUUGUUUUUGAGUGUGAUGAAAUUCAUGUAUGUGGUUAUGUUAGGAGAGACAUGUAAUGAUUUGGGAGUAGUUAGUUCAUCAAUGGGGGAUAAAGUAAGCAUUUGGUAUGGUUAGAGUUUCCAGCCUAAGAAAUGGUUAGAGUUUUGGAGGAAGGUUCAUGUAUGCUGAAGUUCAUGAACCUUACAUAAUUAUAAGCAUUGGUAUUUUAACCAAAUGUUACAAGUAGUUGGAUGCCAUUUUUAUGUCACAUGAAUAUGUUUUUAUAGCUUUAAUAAGUUUUGCAUUCAAUUUGUCUUUUAUAGUUUCUCUGCACUUUCUAGUCCCACCAAUUCCGAAUACUGAGAGGUAUAUUUCCUUUUGUAGUAUGCAAGUAUGAGGAUAUCAGAAGAAGAAAGAGCAAGUAGUGAAGUAUAUUAUUGAGGAGGAGGUGAUAGAAGCUGCUAGGCUACAUGGAGCAGCAGCUUGAGAAAAUUCUUGAUAUUGUGAUGUCCAAGUGCAGGGCUUAACAAUUGUUACUCAUGUAAUUAAAUAAGGUGGUAAAUUUAUUGCGAAGAUAUUCCAUGGAAAAGAUACUAGUCUUCUUUAUUGUCAGCUGAAAGUAUUUUUCCCGAUUGUGACUUUUACAAAAUCAAAAAGCAGCCGCAAUUCCAGCAUAGGCUCUAUGAUGUACGACUUCUUUAUGGGAAAUGGUUGGAUGUGGCAUCAUAUCAAGCUAUCAUCAGCCCCUUCAAGUACUCAUGUAAUCAAUCUGAAGACAAUUCUAAUCUAGCUAGCAUGUUCUAUAUUUGAAAACCAGUUUAACUGUACUAUGAUUUUGUAAUAUGAAGUUACUUAAUUGAUAUAAUUUACUACAUGAAUGCUUUUGUUAACUAUGCUUGAAUGAAAGGGUUUAAUUGAAAGUAUUGUCUAUUAGAAGAGUGAAUGAAGACAUCUUUUACGACACGCGAAAUGGUAUUUUACGACACCCAAAAGGGCUUUUUAAGACACGCAAAAUGGUCUUUUACGGCACACAAUUAAAGUUGUAAAAUAUCUUUCAUGGCGCGCAAAAGAGUGUUUUACGACGCGCAAAAAAUGUUUUUUACGGCGCACAUUUUGUGUGCCACAAGAGAAAUUUGUCUUUUACGACACGCUUCUUUGUGCCGUAAAGUUAUU